UCUCCACUCCCUCACACUCUUAUCCUCCACUUCCCCACGAGCUGCUGCUCCUCCCAAGCUCCAUGGCCGGCCAUGGCCAUGGAAAGCUCACCAAGAUGCAGCUCCUUCCUCCCUCAAGCUCAUCCUCACCAUGAGAGCCUCCCCCUCCAUCUUCUCCCCAACCCUAGAUGGUUUAAUCUCCUCUUCUUCUUCCUCCAUUGCUAAUAUUGGAUCUUGAUGCAGGUGCAUGUUGGUCCAAGCAUGGAGAAGGUUGAGCAAUCCUCAGAUCUGAAGUUCUUGAGCAAAAUCCAAAUCGAGUAGUUCAAAGUUCUGCAGAUAGGUAUUGAAAAGAUCUACAACUUGGCGUUGGUCUCAUCCUCAAAUUCGUUACGGAUUUUGUAUGAUCAAGAUCUGGUCAGAUCUGACUUUGUCGAAUUAAACCAGGAGCUUGGAGACGAAUUUUUGAAUGAAACCAACUGGUGGGUACUUAGCUUGUGCCAUGGUGAUACCGAGAGAGGCAAUUGCUAAGUUGUGAUACUCUCAUACCUUUACUAGAUGCGAACGAUUCCGGAGAAGAAGAAGAAGUGGUUCGGACAAGGAUUUUAUUUAUAUUGGCGGGAUUCUUAUAUUGAUGAAGUUGAAGAAGUCCAGGGACAAAUAAGCCAAGGCAAGCCAUCUUUUGAUCUUUGAUUCGGUGUCUAGUUGGAUGUCAUUUGUUGAUGUCCAAAGCACCUUAAUUCUAUGUG
Non-coding RNA from Lolium perenne, 725 nucleotides. Lineage: Eukaryota; Viridiplantae; Streptophyta; Magnoliopsida; Poales; Poaceae. The record is from RefSeq and is a predicted model, not a curated record.